GAUGAACGCUGGCGGCGUGCCUAAUACAUGCAAGUCGAGCGAACAGACGAGGAGCUUGCUCCUCUGACGUUAGCGGCGGACGGGUGGGUAACACGUGGAUAACCUACCUAUAAGACUGGGAUAACUUCGGGAAACCGGAGCUAAUACCGGAUAAUAUAUUGAACCGCAUGGUUCAAUAGUGAAAGACGGUUUUGCUGUCACUUAUAGAUGGAUCCGCGCCGCAUUAGCUAGUUGGUAAGGUAACGGCUUACCAAGGCAACGAUGCGUAGCCGACCUGAGAGGGUGAUCGGCCACACUGGAACUGAGACACGGUCCAGACUCCUACGGGAGGCAGCAGUAGGGAAUCUUCCGCAAUGGGCGAAAGCUUGACGGAGCAACGCCGCGUGAGUGAUGAAGGUCUUCGGAUCGUAAAACUCUGUUAUUAGGGAAGAACAAAUGUGUAAGUAACUAUGCACGUCUUGACGGUACCUAAUCAGAAAGCCAUGGCUAACUACGUG
This 497-nucleotide ribosomal RNA is filed under the name uncultured bacterium. RNAcentral's name for it is "partial 16S ribosomal RNA". It matches the Rfam family "Bacterial small subunit ribosomal RNA", at positions 28 to 507 of the family's 1533-position model. The record is from RNAcentral.